Molecule: ribosomal RNA, 465 nt
Filed under: Vreelandella stevensii
Lineage: Bacteria; Pseudomonadati; Pseudomonadota; Gammaproteobacteria; Oceanospirillales; Halomonadaceae
Description: partial 16S ribosomal RNA
Rfam family: Bacterial small subunit ribosomal RNA
Source: RNAcentral
CCUACGGGCGGCAGCAGUGGGGAAUAUUGGACAAUGGGGGCAACCCUGAUCCAGCCAUGCCGCGUGUGUGAAGAAGGCCCUCGGGGUGUAAAGCACUUUCAGUGAGGAAGAACGCCUGGUGGUUAAUACCCAUCAGGAAAGACAUCACUCACAGAAGAAGCACCGGCUAACUCCGUGCCAGCAGCCGCGGGAAUACGGAGGGUGCGAGCGUUAAUCGGAAUUACUGGGCGUAAAGCGCGCGUAGGUGGCUUGAUAAGCCGGUUGUGAAAGCCCCGGGCUCAACCUGGGAACGGCAUCCGGAACUGUCAAGCUAGAGUGCAGGAGAGGAAGGUAGAAUUCCCGGUGUAGCGGUGAAAUGCGUAGAGAUCGGGAGGAAUACCAGUGGCGAAGGCGGCCUUCUGGACUGACACUGACACUGAGGUGCGAAAGCGUGGGUAGCAAACAGGAUUAGAUACCCCUGUAGUC